RNAcentral lists this long non-coding RNA (2670 nucleotides) under Elaeis guineensis (African oil palm). Its description in RNAcentral is "long non-coding RNA (EGUI_LNC032847)". The record is from RNAcentral. Lineage: Eukaryota; Viridiplantae; Streptophyta; Magnoliopsida; Arecales; Arecaceae.
CCAAGAUAAUUUAUAAAAAAGUACAACAUAUCCCAUGAACAGCUCUGGUGUGCAAAAGCAGUAUCUAAUUUGAUAGUGCACCUCUACAAUAGGCUGAAGUGAAUUUGCAGCCAAGGUGAGAAAACAACAGAGUAAUUGAAUAGGUUCACAGAAGACAGCAAUCCAGAGUAUAUGCACCAGCCGGCAUGCAGAAUCCUGAUAGUCAUCAUGAUCCACCUUCCAAACUCCAAACCACCCAAAGAGAGAUGUAAUUAAGGACCAUUGAAGGCAAGGGUAACCCUGUGUCCCUGAAAAUUAUAAUACCAAAAGAGCUUAGAAUUAGAAUCCAACAUGAAUUCCUACAGGUAAAUGACCCUGUAGUAUAUGCCACAAGUCAACUACCAUGUUUAACCAGGUAUGAGGAGACAUAGACUUGAAGUAAGCUGAAAUAGACAUUAAUGUGGCCAGCAUAGUAGUAAAACAAAUUAAUUGUAUCCCACCAAUAAGCAAAAGCAUGAGACCAGCCUAAUCUUGACAGUGGCAACAACUCAUCCAACUUCAACAGUUUACUGGAAAAACAUUGAUUUCAGCACUUUAAACCUGCACCCCCUAUUAGUCAUGCAUAAUGUGACCAGGUUGUUGACCUUCAACAAGAGGCUUGGAACACAACUAGUGAUCCAUGGAAUAUACAAAAGGGCAUGAGAACCUGAGAACAUUUCAGUAAAAUAAGAAGUAAAGGAAACAAUAUUAUAUUGAAAGCAAACCACCCAAUUAAUAACCUUGAGCAAAAGAAAAUCCAUUUAGUUCACUGCCACAGCAAACCUCAGAUAAGGAGCAGAUCUGAUCCCUAAAGGAUACACUGAAACCUGGGUAUGCACCAAAGCCCUAAGCUGAUUGCAACCAGAAAACCAAUAACCUCUGAAUUGGUGUGACCCAAAUAAUGCAUUGUGAGGGAACACCUGAGAAAACCAAACAUUGCCAUAGCAAGAGAUCAAAGGAAAGGAAUUUAUGUUUGAGUUCCCUGAUAUUGUACUCUAGUCUUAUUCUUCUCAGAUUUAGGUCCUAGUAUCUGUAAGUUUUCUUAAUACAUAUUAUUAUUAUUAUUGUUAUUAUUAUUAUUAUAAAAUUGUAUGGAUUAAUAGCUUUAAUAUAGUUUUAUUCAGCAUUUAAUCUUAAUGUCAGCCUUAGAGUCAUACAAACUUAAUUAGCCUUAGUGUGAUGAACUCUGGCUCUGUUUAAUUUUCAGAAAGUUUGGUUCUUUUAGGUGACAACUGCAUGUUUUGAACAGACCAUAUGCAAAAAAAAUUGACCUCAACUAGAUCAGGUUUAAGUUUAACCAUAAACUUGGAUACAAUCCCAUUCAUAAGCCAUAACUUGGAUAUAAACAACACAUCCCCCUGCAUAUAAAGAAACUCAUCCAAAACAGAAUCCUAACUUUUAAAAUUUGGUUAUACACAAACGCAUAUAUCUGCCAUUAUAUCAAUUACUUUCCAAGACAUAGAUCAUAUAUAUCUAUCAACAACACUUUAUGUAAAGCAAAAUAUGUUAUAACUCAUAAGAAUAGGAUUAGUUCAUAACUCACAUAUGAAGAAACUUAUCUAGAACUCCAAAACAUAUAAACAAAACCAAGACAUUCCAAAUCUAGAUAUAGAGCUAGAGAUGUUCAUAAAAACUUGUUAAUGUCGAUCAACAUGUGAAGUCUUUAGUAUCCAAAGGACAAAUUCAGAAUACAUGUCCACAAUUACAAGUCAUCUUGCACAUGAUCCUGGCUCACAUGGACAGGAUUACAAUCCCAAAUGAAAAACAUGAGCUUGUUGAGAAUGAUAAAAUCUCUGUCACUACAGCAGAACAUGCAAUCAAGUCUAUAAUUAGCCAAAAAAUAUGAAGACUGAGAUUUAACUCUAUAUCAACUAACAAAUUAGCUUGAAUGGCAAAGUCAGAUGAGAGGAAGGCACAAACAAAUUGUUAUUGCGUAUCUAUUAGAUUGAAUGGUAAAAUUUCAUGAGAAGAAUGCAAAAAAGAUGACAACAAUUGACAAAUAAGGUUUCAUAACAUUAUUGGUGCUCACGAGUUGAUGUGCCAUGAAACUUUUAGAAGGGAACCAAUAUUGCAAUCAUGCCACAUAAGUCAGCAGGUUGGAUUAUCAGUUGAACUGUUUUGUCACUAGUUUUAGGUAUCUAACUAUGGACUAAGCAUUCCACAAAUCAUGGCACACAAGGUACCAAGCAUGUUGACCGAGGAGAAUUUGUUAUUCAUCAUGUCUCACCUAACCAGGAACCAACCACUUGUCAUGUAUAAAAACUAGCAUGUACCCUACACUCUGCUUGAGCACAAAAGUUAUAAAUAGGCUAUUUAGAUGCAUCAUUGUACAUAUUCAGAUACCAUCGAUACAAAGAAAUAAAACUAUUGUUUAUAUAGUUUGCUUCGUUUAGAGAAUGGUGUAUAAUUUAAGCAAGGGACAUAAAAGGAUUACAAUAUUUAAAAAAAAAAAGAACAGAAUUUUGAAGGAAAUGUUCAAGAUAUGCAUGGAAUAUCAACUUGGUAAAGCUUCUUGAAACAAUUACACAUCUUAUUGUUUUGGCAAAUUACCAUGGUUAAAUUUGAUAUUAUUCUUUAAAAGUAACACCCUACGAUUGCGAGUAAUGUACAAGAAACCGGGUUCUUACACUUUUUUUUUCCUGAAGAUCGAGG